UACGAAGGGGGCUAGCGUUGCUCGGAAUCACUGGGCGUAAAGCGCACGUAGGCGGAUUGUUAAGUCAGGGGUGAAAUCCUGGAGCUCAACUCCAGAACUGCCUUCGAUACUGGAAAGCUCGAGUCCGGGAGAGGUGAGUGGAACUGCGAGUGUAGAGGUGAAAUUCGUAGAUAUUCGCAAGAACACCAGUGGCGAAGGCGGCUCACUGGCCCGGUACUGACGCUGAGGUGCGAAAGCGUGGGGAGCAAACAGG
This 253-nucleotide ribosomal RNA is filed under the name uncultured bacterium. RNAcentral's name for it is "partial 16S ribosomal RNA". It matches the Rfam family "Bacterial small subunit ribosomal RNA", at positions 524 to 776 of the family's 1533-position model. The record is from RNAcentral.